AGACUGGGUUGUAAAAACUCUUGAAUAAUGAGAUAAGGAGUGCCUCUGGGUUGGUGAACACAUCAGAUGCUGGGCAGGUGGUGUGUUGCCUCCCUCCAUACCAUGCAUCUCUUCCCUUUGGCUGAUCCUGAGGUGUAUCCCUUAGAAAUAAGCUGGUAAAUCAUGAGUUCUUCUGUUUCUUCUGCGUGGGUUGACCAUGGGCAUCAGGCAUCAGAGAUACAACUCUGGAUCUUGUCCAUCCAUUGCUGGGCACUCUGUCCAUCCUGGGCGCAGAAGUUAUACACACGUUUGCUGGUCUUGAGCUACAAAACCAAAUGACAGUGAACCAGAGAUGAAGGGCAGGGCUGUUUUAUGGAUUUGGGCAUGGUAUGAGCAGGGCUAAGUGGAAAAAACUGUAUCUAUCUUUCAUGUUAAAGAAGUCCAGAAGACUGACCUCUGGGGAAAGACUGCUGCUUUCUGCUGGGAUUACCACAUCUGUGAGGCUUGGAAUGAUCAGUAGCCAUCCUUUGUGCCAUGUUGGGACUGACAUAACACAGAGAGAGGGCAAAGCAGAGCCAGGAAGUGGAUAGAAGAUACUGUGUGAGAAGCUAGCAUACCCUUGGCUGUCCUAGCUUAUGAGUCUACUGCUAAGAUUUCAGCAUGUCCUGUGGCUGAGUUAAUCAGAGUUAUGACAGGAAGGUACCGGGCACACCAUCGCAAUGCUCCAUCAAUGCUAGUAUGUUGUGUUCUUUCCUUCAUAUCAAGUCAACUCAAGCUUGCUCUACUUACCUGGUGUACACAGUCUAAGAACUGUAAGAAGACUGGAGCAAAACCACUCCCCUGACAGUUGAGGGUCAAGCUGCUCCUCUGACUGAAUUUGUGACCAAAAGAGAGCCACUCUUUUUCAACCAACAUCUGGAAGCCUUCAAGUGUCCUAUAAAAGGGAUCACUGAGUAACUGAACCAGGGAUGUCACCUAGGGCAUAAGCAGGAUGGAUUGUCAUUAAUUUUAGUUCUGAAAAAGGCCUAUUACUAAGAUAAAAGCACUUCCUUCUGAUGAUAGCUAAUUCACAAAUUUACCUGGACAGCAAAUUUGUUCACUAACCAUUCCAGGAUGGCCAAUAAAAUUAAUUUUGUAAACUUGCCAGUAAAAACUAAAGCUCAAAUUCAUUUUGGCUACAAGUUUACUUUCAGGGAAUUGAGACUUUAAUCCUUAACUGGCCAGUUUGCUGACAGCAACCUUUUCCUAAGUUAAUCAGAGGCCAGAGGAUCAGUUAAAAUCAAUUCUACUUUUUGGCAGAUGCAGAUUAAUGUCUUAAUGUAGUCUGAACUCACACUUUUCACUCUGGAGUGAGUUAAGGCGGGGCUUAUAGAGAGCCAGGGGAUGGACUGACAAAACCCAGGAAGGAUGGUCCACGCCUCACACUGCUGGUCAAGGGCUCCAUCCGCAAGCCUGCAUGGUACAUCUGUGGAUGGGAGAGCUUGAUGCCCGGAGCCAGAGCUCCAGGCUGCGUAGGGGCUAAGAGCUCAUGGUACGGAGUUUUCUGAUGGAUACCAGGUGCUGUUUAACACAGGACUUUCUCUGUCCAUAAACACAUUAGUCAUUAUACAAAAGAGUCAUCUGAAGAAUUUAAAAAUGACCAAAUGGAAAUAUAAAUAUAAAAUAUCAAAAAAUAUGUCUAAUAGUUUACUUGUGCAGUGAUGUCCCAGCCUUCCUCCAAACAGACCAAAACUGAGGAACCAUUCUCAAGUACUUCUGAUACAACCACAGCCAGCUGCAUUAUCCUGUGAAGCUAAGAGACAGGAAGGAGAACACAAUUAGACCAAGCGCUUUCUGAGUGCAGAAGUCAGAGAGAGUUGCUUUCAACCCUGGAUAAUCAAACGACUUAGGGAUAAAGCGCUUGCACAAAAGAACCACAUAAUGUUUUAAAUACCUAAAGUUCUUUCAAAUCAAGAUUAAACAAUGACACUUUUGACUGGAUGCAAUGACUCAUGCCCAUAAUCCCAGCACUUUGGGAGGCCGAGCCGGGCAGGUCAUUUGAGGUUCGGAGUUCGAGACCAGCCUGGGCAACAUAGUAAGACCCCAUCUCAAUGAAAACAACAACAAAAUGACACUUCAAAAAAGUAGACACAUUUUAAAACAAUACAUUCUAGUAAUACAUAAUGAAAUAAAAUUACCUUACAUGAUUCCCCCAAAAGUAGGUGAGCUAUAAUUCCAUAGAGUACAAAAAACAGAGAUUCUAUGUGGACUUCCCAACAAAAGACGGAAAUUCAGAUGAAUUUUAUUGGAUUUAAAAUUUGUUUUUCCAUGAUGUAGUAAGUUUUGUUUCAGACAUUUUUUUUUUUUUUUUUUGAGACAAAGUCUCGCUCUGUCACCCAGGCUGGAGUGCAGUGAUGCAAUCCUGGCUAACCACAACCUCUGCCCCCCGGGUUCAAGCGAUUCUCCUGCCUCAGCCUCCCGAGUAGCUUGGAUUACAGGUGCAUACCAGUGCACCCGGCUAAUUUUUUGUAUUUUUAGUAGAGACGAGGUUUCACCAUGUUGGCCAGGCUAGUCUUGAACUCCUGACCUCAGGUAAUCCACCUGCCUCAGCCUCCCAAAGUGCUAGCAUUACAGGCGUGAACCACCACGCCUGGCCUAUUUCAGGUAUUCUUAAUUUUUUGGGAAUUAGAUAGUGGUGAUAGUUACACAAUGUUGUGGACAUACCAAAAAGCGUUGAGUUGUGCACCUUUAUCAUAAGGAUAAAUUUUAUGGUAAGUGAAUUAUAUGUUAAAAAAGAAACUCCUGGCUGGGUGUGGUGGCUCAACGCCUGUAAUCCCAGCACUUUGGGAGGUUGAAGCAGGAGUAGUGCUUGAGCUCAGGAGUUUGAGACCACCUGGGCAACAUGGCAAAACCCCAUCUCUACAAAACAUACAAAAACCAGCCAGGCGUGGUGGCAUCUGCCUGUAAUCCCAGCUACUCAGGAGGCUGAGGUAGGAGGAUCGCUUGAACCUGGGAGAUCGAGGCUGCAGUGAGCUGUGAUUGUGCCACUGCACUCUAGCCUGGGUGACAGAGCAAGACCCUGUCUCGAAAAAUAAAAAUAAAAAAGAUACUCCUAUUUGUCUAUACUGUGUACUAAAUGAGAAAAAAACUUUCAAUAUAUUUGUGCUAAGUUUUUAAAGCCACAUCAAUUGGCUCAAAGUCCUUAAUAAACAAUUAAGGUAUGAGAAUAGUAUAUAGAUUUUAAAACCAGAUGUAUAACAUUGUAAUUUUAAAAAAUAUUUUAAUGAUCAUCAGACAUAAUUUGCAAUUUGAAUCCAACUCUGAACAAGAACAAAAAUGAAAAAACCCAUCUCUUAAACAGAGCUAGGCUACUUUAAACACAGGAAUAAGGCAAAUGCCCUACUCAGUAAUGAGAAGCUCCUCAUGUAACUGUUUCUACAACAUAGCUAUCACCAGGCCUGAAUUCUUUUGGGCUCAGAAUUUGUUCUAAGAAAUGGCUAUUAUUAAAAAGUCAAAAAAUAACAGAUGCUGGCGAGCCUGUGGAGAAAAGGGAAUGUAUAUACAUUUCUGGUGGGAAUGUAAAUUAGUUCAGCCAUUGUAGAAAGUAGUUUGGUGAUUUCUCAAAUAACUUAAAACAGAAUUACCAUUUGACCUAGCAAUCCCAUUACUGAGUAUAUACCCAAAGGAAUAUAAAUUGUUCUACCAUAAAGUCACAUGCACACACAUGUUCAGUGCUGUACUAUUCACAAUAGCAAAGACAUGGAGUCAACCUAUAUGCCCAUCAACGGUAGACUGGAUAAAGAAAAUAUGGUACAUAUACACCAUGGAAUACUACACAGCCAUAAAAAGAAUGAGCUUAUGUCCUUUGCAGUAACACAGCUGAAGCAAACUAACACAGGAAUGGAAAACCAAAUACUGCAUAUUCUCACUUAUAAGUGGGAGCUAAACAUUGAGUACACAUGGACACAAAGAAAGGAAUAGACGCCUGGGGCGUAUUUGAGGUUGGAGGUGAGAGGAGGGUGAGGAUAGAAAAACUACCUAUCAGGUACUAUGCUUAUUACCUGGGUGAUGAAAUAAUCUGUACACCAAACUCCCAAGAUAUGCAAUGUACCUAUACAACAAACCUACA
RNAcentral lists this long non-coding RNA (4087 nucleotides) under Homo sapiens (human). RNAcentral describes it as "HSALNT0361308". The stretch from base 2899 to 3046 matches the Rfam family "Metazoan signal recognition particle RNA". Lineage: Eukaryota; Metazoa; Chordata; Mammalia; Primates; Hominidae. The record is from RNAcentral.